AAGGAUGGGUCGCCUCUCCGGUGGGUGGUCCCUUCCGAAAAGCAGAAUCCACUCUGUGCCCUCAGGGGUCUCUGCUUGGAGAGUCCAUGGCAUCUGAGAGGAUGGGCCAGGUGAGGUGGGGGUGGCUCCUGAGAGCAGGGAGGACAAGGGCGGAGCUGGAGGCGUCAGGCCCAGAAGACCCCCCCAGUGACUCGGGGCAGCUGUGGGCAAGGCUUGGACCCAAGAGGCCUGACCACCCCGCCUGGCAGCACACCAGAGCACAGGCCAGACCUGAAGGGGCAGCGCCAGGGGGGCCCAUGGUCCACGGGUCACUCUGCUGGCCCUGCGGCC
RNAcentral lists this long non-coding RNA (330 nucleotides) under Homo sapiens (human). Its description in RNAcentral is "LHRI_LNC1454.1". Lineage: Eukaryota; Metazoa; Chordata; Mammalia; Primates; Hominidae. The record is from RNAcentral.